Molecule: long non-coding RNA, 5041 nt
Filed under: Drosophila guanche
Lineage: Eukaryota; Metazoa; Arthropoda; Insecta; Diptera; Drosophilidae
Source: RNAcentral
CUUGAGUGUGAAUUUUUAUUAAUCCCAAAAUGCUUGCUCAUUCUCUCUCUCUCAAACACUCACCCACAGCUUAUGUGCACUCUUUGGCGGUGGAGAGGGAAAUGACGAAAGGACGUAUGUGGGUCGCACUUCUCACACCAAGACCUGCCGUUAGUCUUGGUGUGAGAAGUGCGACCCACAUACAUGUGGGGGUUUAUGUUUAUUGUUUAUAAGUAAAGGUUAAUAAGUGAUUAAGUAUGGUAUAACGGUACAAGAAUUAGAUAUCUGCGUCGUUCGUCGUCUGGUCUCGCACACAACAUUUUACGUCGGAGGUUGGAUAGAAACUCCCCUCGGCGCUCUCUCGCCGAUCGGUUGUCCGCUCUCGCUCUCAUCUCGCUCUCCUUCGUCUUCUCUUUGCGUUUGCUCUCUUGUCUGGAAUUCGCAGUGAUGCGAAUUCGCCCUUGCUCGUUUUGGUGUUUUGUCUAGGGAUCGCAAUUGGCAAAACCCAGCCCACAUCCGGCCGUCCUGACUAUGCACUUGCCUCGAAUGCAUCGUCGCUAUCGUCGUCAUUGCUCGUGGACCAUGGCUUCAGGUACUCCGCACACGAAGAGGAGUGCUUUGGACCAUCGGAAUUGCCAACUUUUUUGACGUCGUAAGCAUUGUUAUGCUUCACCUUAAUGAUCUGUAAGGACCCAAAAACUUUGGCUUAAGUUUGAGUCCGCUUCCAAACUGAGUCCUCUUUAUAGCAACUAGGUCGCCAACGUCGUAAUGUCUGGGUGGUUUACGUCGCAAGUUAUACGUCUUCUUGUUCUCGGCUUGCAGAUUCAGAAUUUGAGUUUUCGCUUUAGCCCGUAGCUCAUUGCGGUCGUCUUCAAAUGCAAUGAUGGACUCCUUCUGGAUCAAACUCUGAAGCUGCUGGUCAUCUUUGGUGCGCAUCUUGAUACCCAUCAUAAGCUCAAAAGGAGUUGUAUCGAUGCUUCUGGUGUACGUCGAGUUUAUUGCUCGCUGGACUCGAUCUACGUGCUUAAACCAUUUGGAUGGAUCGUCUACACUGAGCUUGGAUAGCACGGAGAUGAUCACUGAGUUGAGCCUUUCCACCUGCCCGUUUACCCGUGGCAGUCCGGUAGUCGUCUUCACCAGUUUAAUUUUUUCGUCUUCGCAGUACUGUAGGAAAUCUUGUGCGGUAAACGCCGAGCCUCUAUCUGAAAUGAUACAAACAGGGUUGCCAAACGUCACGCUUUGGCUGCGUAACUUUAAUAUGACCUCGUUAGAUGUAGUAGACUUUGUAGGGUAUAGCCAGAAAAACUUCGUGAAAGCGUCGAUAACAACAAGUAUGUGUUUGUAGCUUUUGCUGGUUGACUCCAGUGGACCCAAAAAGUCGAUUUGAUAGGUCUGCAGCGGCACAUCAUAUUUUUGCAGGGGGUUCAAAAGACCUUCUUGUUUACCACGCUUGCGAUUUACUAAUAUGCAAGGUAUGCAACAAUCGAUGUACUUCUUAAUUUUGUCGUCUAAAUUUGGUAUGUAAUACUCCUUGCAGAUUAACUCUUUCGUCUUCUUGAUAGCAAAGUGUCCUCUAUCGUGGGCCUUGCCGAUGAUAGUUUUCUGCAUAUCCUUUGGAAUCACCAUCAGUUCCACAUCUUCGACUAAUUUAUAGAGGAUUCCUGACUUUAUAAAGUAGUCUUCGUAUGGUUGGCUGUCGGCGUUGAUAAGCUUCAUGAUCGUCUUCAAGUGUUCGUCUCGUUUUUGCGCCUGUUCUAUGCCAACUAAAAUGCUUCCGUCGUUUAUGGACAUAAUGGGAUAUCGUGAAAGUGCGUCUACAUGGCGCAUUCGGGAUCCUGCGCGAUGCUCGACUUCGUAGUUGUACUCCUGCAAAAGCAUUAUCCAUCUUGCCACCCUUGUACACAGAUUCUGCUUCUCUAGUGUUUUGGUUAACGCGUUGCAGUCGUCAGCUUCGUCAAUGCUUCAAUCACCGCAAGUAUUUCCAACUCAUAGCUCGUGUAUUUUCGUUGUGCAUCUGUCGUCUUCUUACUCAUGUAAUACACUGGAUGUAAGUGCCCAUCGUCUGGUGAUUUUUGCAUAAGCACGGCUCCAAAUCCAUCUAUAGAUGCAUCCGUAUGGAGCUCUGUCUCGUACUGCUGAUUGUAAAUGGCAAGCACUGGGUUUGAUGUCAAACAUUUCUUCAACACUCCAAUAGCGUUCUCUUCGUCUGGGCCAAUUACAAACUUAGCAUUGUUCUUCGUUAGGUCAGUCAAUGGUUUGGCUAUCACCGCGUAAUUGUAGAUAAACUUUCUAAAGUAUCCUGCAAGACCCAAAAAACUCUGAAGCUGUUUCAGGGUCUGCGGCGUCUUGAACUUCGAAACGGCUUCAAUCUUCAAUGGUGUCGGAUAUAGUUUCUUGUUCUCGAUAAUAUGGCCAAGAAACUGGAUUCGUGUUUGUAAAAAAUGACACUUUUUAAAAUUCAGCUCUAGCCCAUAUUCUUCGCACGUCUUGAGAACUUCUUUCAGGUUUGCUAGGGCUUCUAGCUCGUCUUUGGCUGGGAUAAUUACGUCGUCAACAUAUGGUAGUGCUAUACCUUUUCUAGUCAGUGAUCGAAAUAUUGCGCCAAUAUGUCUUUGGAAUACUCCUGGGGAAUUCGACAAACCAAAUGGGACCUUGCGAAACUGGUAUUGUCCGCUUUGCGUCACAAAUGAGGUGUACUUCCUACUCUCUUCGGCCACAGGAACAUGGAAAAACCCAUUUUUCAAGUCAAUCGUACUGAAUACUACANCUCGUUUUUGCGCCUGUUCUAUGCCAACUAAAAUGCUUCCGUCGUUUAUGGACAUAAUGGGAUAUCGUGAAAGUGCGUCUACAUGGCGCAUUCGGGAUCCUGCGCGAUGCUCGACUUCGUAGUUGUACUCCUGCAAAAGCAUUAUCCAUCUUGCCACCCUUGUACACAGAUUCUGCUUCUCUAGUGUUUUGGUGAACGCGUUGCAGUCCGUUAUAAUCUUAAAUGGAAUACCCAAAAGAUAAACUCGAAACUUCGUCAAUGCUUCAAUCACCGCAAGUAUUUCCAACUCAUAGCUCGUGUAUUUUCGUUGUGCAUCUGUCGUCUUCUUACUCAUGUAAUACACUGGAUGUAAGUGCCCAUCGUCUGGUGAUUUUUGCAUAAGCACGGCUCCAAAUCCAUCUAUAGAUGCAUCCGUAUGGAGCUCUGUCUCGUACUGCUGAUUGUAAAUGGCAAGCACUGGGUUUGAUGUCAAACAUUUCUUCAACACUCCAAUAGCGUUCUCUUCGUCUGGGCCAAUUACAAACUUAGCAUUGUUCUUCGUUAGGUCAGUCAAUGGUUUGGCUAUCACCGCGUAAUUGUAGAUAAACUUUCUAAAGUAUCCUGCAAGACCCAAAAAACUCUGAAGCUGUUUCAGGGUCUGCGGCGUCUUGAACUUCGAAACGGCUUCAAUCUUCAAUGGUGUCGGAUAUAGUUUCUUGUUCUCGAUAAUAUGGCCAAGAAACUGGAUUCGUGUUUGUAAAAAAUGACACUUUUUAAAAUUCAGCUCUAGCCCAUAUUCUUCGCACGUCUUGAGAACUUCUUUCAGGUUUGCUAUGGCUUCUAGCUCGUCUUUGGCUGGGAUAAUUACGUCGUCAACAUAUGGUAGUCAGUGAUCGAAAUAUUGCACCAAUAUGUCUUUGGAAUACUCCUGGGGAAUUCGACAAACCAAAUGGGACCUUGCGAAACUGGUAUUGUCCGCUUUGCGUCACAAAUGAGGUGUACUUCCUACUCUCUUCGGCCACAGGAACAUGGAAAAACCCAUUUUUCAAGUCAAUCGUACUGAAUACUACAGCGUCCUGCAAACGAUCUAGCUGGUCAUCUAUCAACGGCAAUGGGAAAUGAUCUUUUUCGAUGACUUUAUUGAUGCGUCUGAAGUCAAUACAUAGACGUUGCUUGCCGUCAUUCUUUUUUACUAGUACAACCGGACUCGUGAACUCGGAUUCUGAUUCUUCAAUUACCUCAUUCUGCAGCCAUUCAUCAACCUGGUCUUCUAUGAUACGUGUUUCAGUCAUAGCAAACCGCCGCGGCCGCGAGAAAAUUGGCGUUUCGUCUUUAAGAAUUAUUUUCAUUUCAAUGUUUGUUGUUUUUGAUUUUUCCGGUUUAUACGUCGUUACUAUCUCGCGAACUUCUUUUCGUGUAAUCUCGUUUAUCGCUUCGUUUAUGUUCAGUUCAGAAUUGUCCACCGCUACGUCGAUUUUCAUUAUGGACGCUUCGUCAUACGCAUCUUCGUUAUUUUCAUUUGGCAUUUUAUUAACUUUUACUCCAUGGCGAUUAAAUGAUACUUCUGCGUGCAAACAAAGCUCUUCCCCGAUUAUCAGCUUAAUAUCCAUGAACUUAGAAGCAACAACAUAAAAUGUCAAAACAUAUUCUUCGUCGUCAAUACGUAUGCUAUGUUCUACUUGACCAAUCGGCUUGAUAUUGUCAGCCUUGCUUUCACUUCCGAAACCGACCAAGCGCACUCUGCAGUUCUUUAAUUUUGGCAUACACAGUUCGUCGUAAAAGUCUUCGCGCAAAAUAUUGAAUUUACUGCCAGUGUCAAAUAGUGCCAUACAUUUCAUAUUUUUAAUCGAAACUUCUUUGGAUGUCAAUUCCGCUCUAUUCAAAAUUACACGCAAGUUUUGUUUUUCUUCGUUUGCCUUCUCACUUUUCUCCUUGCAAUUCUUUGAAAUGUGCCCAAACUGAUUGCACUUGAAGCACUUUUUUCCCUUCUCUUUGCUCGAGCAACUGCUAGACACAUGACCCUUCUCUCCGCAGUUGUAACACACGACGUCUUUUUUGCCAGUCUGGGUAUAAUUUUGUCCAACCGACAUCUUCUUAUCUCUUCCCGUCUUCUCACUCUUUUUUAUUUUCUCGUUUAUUUUCUCAUAAUCUUUUAAUUUGUCCUUAAAAUCAGACAUCUUUUUCGCACCAUAUAAAAUAGAUUUAUUUAAUGCCAUCUCGUCGACACCGUCAAUCACGUAUUGCAUAAGUGCGUCGUCUUCGACAUUUCCUCUUGCAGCAAUAUCUCUCAUGCGAUAAAAAUAUUCCAGAACAUUC